Molecule: long non-coding RNA, 1180 nt
Filed under: Linum usitatissimum (flax)
Lineage: Eukaryota; Viridiplantae; Streptophyta; Magnoliopsida; Malpighiales; Linaceae
Description: long non-coding RNA (LUSI_LNC002224)
Source: RNAcentral
UCCAAGUGGCUUUGUCAUCAUACGAAAUAAUUUGGAUAGCUUGUUUUCAUAUUGAUUAGCCAAUACGGAAAGAAUUCUAUGGCUCUCUUCUUCAAAAUACUGUCUAAAUAAUAAAUUCCAAUUAUGCGACAUUUCAAAUUCAACAGCAAAAAACGAUGCCCAAGUAUCCAACAAUGGGGUUUAGCAGUAAUGAUAAGUGAACAUUGCGCUACACAAACGAACUAUUGUCUUUGAGAGGAUUUAGUACAUGUUGAAGUUAACACAGUCAAGAAAAACGAAAUGUAUCAUUAAUUAACUUCAUCACUGUGUAAAUUUUGGAGAGGCAGAUCCCAAUAAGCAACUCUCUCUCAUGAUGUAACCUUUCUUCGCAAAUUGUUGAAAAUUGUUUGGAGCUCGAGUCAUUAGUUCUAUUGUCACAUUUUGGUACUCUAUCACAACUCAUUCUGUUAGUAUCCUGAACAGUGCUGCUUGGACUUUGUUCCGAUUCGUGACAGCUUAUUUUCAUUUCUUCUGUCCAACGAAGGGUGUUAUGUUUGAUCAAAGCCUUUGCAGUGUGUUAGGUUGCAUAAAAUUAUUGUUUUCUGGACUAGCCUUGUUGCAAGGAUUAUAAUUCCAUAUUCGGUAUGGACAUCAUAGUGAAAUGAGUAUUCAUUGGUAUGAAUCGUUAGUAGAUAUAUACAUGGGAUGUAUCAAAGUAGGGACGAAUGAUGCUGGCUAGAUCAAGGGUUUUUCAUAGCUUAUUAGGAUAUUCGUUGUGUGAGGUAGGAAGCUCCUAACUUUCUGCUUGGUUUUUGGUUGUGAAACUGAGAGUUUAGGAAAGGCACACUGAUGAUGGUGUUAACUUUAGAAGAAAACGUUUGUAAGAUUUGUGUUUUUUUCUUCUGACAAGAAUAUGUAUGCUUUCUGUUAAUGGAUAGGAUUUGUGACCUGUGUCUUCUCUUCUCCCGGCUGUCUGACUUACAUGCAUUUUUCAUUGGUUUCUCUCGUUGUAUCCGGGUUGUUAUGGUUCCUUUUCGGUUAAUUUUUUUUUUGUUUCGACUUGUUUUUUUUUUCAUUUAUGCUCUAAAUGUUUUUCCUACCAUCUGCGCUGCCUUACUGAUUACUUGUUAAUCCAACUUGUGUCUUGGUAGCACCAAUUGCACGAUGGAGGAUUCUUUUGUGACUAUAGAGUUCCUUAGAG